GACGAACGCUGGCGGCGUGCCUAAUACAUGCAAGUAGAACGCUGAAGGAGGAGCUUGCUUCUCUGGAUGAGUUGCGAACGGGUGAGUAACGCGUAGGUAACCUGCCUGGUAGCGGGGGAUAACUAUUGGAAACGAUAGCUAAUACCGCAUAAGAGUAGAUGUUGCAUGACAUUUGCUUAAAAGUUGCAAUUGCAUCACUACCAUAUGGACCUGCGUUGUAUUAGCUAGUUGGUGAGGUAACGGCUCACCAAGGCAACGAUACAUAGCCGACCUGAGAGGGUGAUCGGCCACACUGGGAAUGAGAAACGGCCCAGACUCCUACGGGAGGCAGCAGUAGGGAAUCUUCGGCAAUGGACGGAAGUCUGACCGAGCAACGACGCGGGAGUGAAGAAGGUUUUCGGAUCGUAAAGCUCUGUUGUAAGAGAAGAAAGAGUGUGAGAGUGGAAAGUUCACACUGUGACGGUAUCUUACCAGAAAGGGACGGCUAACUACGUG
This 495-nucleotide ribosomal RNA is filed under the name uncultured bacterium. RNAcentral's name for it is "partial 16S ribosomal RNA". It matches the Rfam family "Bacterial small subunit ribosomal RNA", at positions 28 to 507 of the family's 1533-position model. The record is from RNAcentral.